UCAAGUGAGAUCAAGAGCAGGACUGAGGAUCUAAACAUGAAAUGUAAGCAUAUAAUGACGUGCAAGGCUUCUCAUCCGGAUUCGGAGAACAAGGGCUGGGACCAGCAAGUAUAGGUUAAAUGCAUAGGAAACCUCCUUGCAAAAGUUUACACUUCACACUGACAGUAAUUAGAAAAGCACACUGAUCACAAUUAAGUUUGACCCUGCAAGACCUCAUCCCAAAUUCAGUGCAGGGGGGCUUGGUCCGGUUGAUAUAAAUUUGGCUUUUGAGGAAUAGUAAUUCAUUAGAAAAGUUUAUUGUAACUUGGUAGAGUCUACCAAUGCAGUCAGGCUUUUCGAUAGAUUUGCACAACUAAGGACAUACAAGUAUCAUGGGGGUAUUUUUUGUUUUCUAACUCUAUUUUCGUUUACAGUUACAGCUACCUGAAGACAGAUGAUAGAUGGGAUAUUCCCUAAGACAGAUGAUCUAUUUUCUCAUCAUGUGAUAACUUUGAAUGUUAAGCUUACCACAUUUUCCAUUUAUGGAUACUUUAUCUUUUAA
Theobroma umbraticum is the source of this 541-nucleotide long non-coding RNA. RefSeq lists it as uncharacterized. The record is from RefSeq and is a predicted model, not a curated record. Lineage: Eukaryota; Viridiplantae; Streptophyta; Magnoliopsida; Malvales; Malvaceae.